This 253-nucleotide ribosomal RNA is filed under the name uncultured bacterium. RNAcentral's name for it is "partial 16S ribosomal RNA". It matches the Rfam family "Bacterial small subunit ribosomal RNA", at positions 524 to 776 of the family's 1533-position model. The record is from RNAcentral.
UACGUAGGGUGCAAGCGUUAAUCGGAAUUACUGGGCGUAAAGCGCACGUAGGCGGCUUGGUAUGUCGGGUGUGAAAUCCCCGGGCUCAACCUGGGAACUGCAUCCGAAACUGCCUUGCUAGAGUAUGGGAGAGGGAAGUGGAAUUUCCGGUGUAGCGGUGAAAUGCGUAGAUAUCGGAAGGAACAUCAGUGGCGAAGGCGACUUCCUGGACCAAUACUGACGCUCAGGUGCGAAAGCGUGGGGAGCGAACAGG